GGCGAGUGAAGCGGCAAAAGCUCAAAUUUGAAAUCUGGCUCUUUCAGAGUCCGAGUUGUAAUUUGAAGAAGGUAUCUUUGGGUCUGGCUCUUGUCUAUGUUUCUUGGAACAGAACGUCACAGAGGGUGAGAAUCCCGUGCGAUGAGAUGAUCCAGGCCUAUGUAAAGUUCCUUCGAAGAGUCGAGUUGUUUGGGAAUGCAGCUCUAAGUGGGUGGUAAAUUCCAUCUAAAGCUAAAUAUUGGCGAGAGACCGAUAGCGAACAAGUACAGUGAUGGAAAGAUGAAAAGAACUUUGAAAAGAGAGUGAAAAAGUACGUGAAAUUGUUGAAAGGGAAGGGCUUGAGAUCAGACUUGGUAUUUUGUAUGUUACUUCUUCGGGGGUGGCCUCUACAGUUUAUCGGGCCAGCAUCAGUUUGGGCGGUAGGAGAAUUGCGUUGGAAUGUGGCACGGCUUCGGUUGUGUGUUAUAGCCUUCGUCGAUACUGCCAGCCUAGACUGAGGACUGCGGUUUAUACCUAGGAUGUUGGCAUAAUGAUCUUAAUUCGCCCGUCUUGAAA
This 555-nucleotide ribosomal RNA is filed under the name Candida tropicalis. RNAcentral describes it as "eukaryotic LSU rRNA". It matches the Rfam family "Eukaryotic large subunit ribosomal RNA", at positions 88 to 659 of the family's 3401-position model. Lineage: Eukaryota; Fungi; Ascomycota; Pichiomycetes; Serinales; Debaryomycetaceae. The record is from RNAcentral.